AAGUCAACAAGGUUUCCGUAGGUGAACAGUGGCAUGGUUUCCCUAAGCAGUGCAGAAGGAUCCACUGAGUAAGGAUAACGCAUCACGGUUGCCAGAGGUCGAUCACCGGCCGGCAGACAUCUUGCUCUCUCAUGCCCGCCGGAAACGCCGGCACAAAAACCGAACAACUGUUAACAAUGGAUAUCUUGGUUCUC
This 194-nucleotide unclassified non-coding RNA is filed under the name fungal sp. RNAcentral's name for it is "partial internal transcribed spacer region". Lineage: Eukaryota; Fungi. The record is from RNAcentral.